Molecule: small nucleolar RNA, 91 nt
Organism: Gastrolobium bilobum
Lineage: Eukaryota; Viridiplantae; Streptophyta; Magnoliopsida; Fabales; Fabaceae
Product: small nucleolar RNA U30
Exons: 1
Source: RefSeq, a predicted model, not a curated record
UGCUAUGAUGAUGAGAAGAAAUAAUCUCGUUAAUCUGAUGUUUAACCUUCAUGAGGAUAACAUUCUCAUCCAUUCAUUAUUCUUUCUGAGC